GUUGGUGAACCAGCGGAGGGAUCAUUACCGAGUUUACAACUCCCAAACCCAUGUGAACAUACCUAUCGUUGCUUCGGCGGGAUCGCCCCGGGCGCCUUGUGUGCCCCGGAUCCAGGCACCCGCCGGGGGACUUCAACUCUUGUUUUUUUUUUUAGAAUCUUCUGAGUCGUUUUUACAAAUAAAUAAAAACUUUCAACAACGGAUCUCUUGGUUCUG
This 216-nucleotide unclassified non-coding RNA is filed under the name rhizosphere metagenome. RNAcentral describes it as "partial ribosomal RNA internal transcribed spacer region". The record is from RNAcentral.